ACCAGACUCCUACGGGAGGCAGCAGUGGGGGAUAUUGCACAAUGGGGGGAACCCUGAUGCAGCGACGCCGCGUGGGUGAAGAAGCGCCUCGGCGCGUAAAGCCCUGUCAGCAGGGAAGAAAAUGACGGUACCUGAAGAAGAAGCCCCGGCUAACUACGUGCCAGCAGCCGCGGUAAUACGUAGGGGGCAGGCGUUAUCCGGAUUUACUGGGUGUAAAGGGGGCGCAGACGGCGAUGCAAGCCAGGAGUGAAAGCCCGGGGCCCAACCCCGGGACUGCUCUUGGAACUGCGUGGCUGGAGUGCAGGAGGGGCAGGCGGAAUUCCUGGUGUAGCGGUGAAAUGCGUAGAUAUCAGGAGGAACACCGGUGGCGAAGGCGGCCUGCUGGACUGCAACUGACGUUGAGGCCCGAAAGCGUGGGGAGCAAACAGGAUUAGAUACCCCCGUAU
This 446-nucleotide ribosomal RNA is filed under the name uncultured bacterium. RNAcentral describes it as "bacterial SSU rRNA". It matches the Rfam family "Bacterial small subunit ribosomal RNA", at positions 330 to 793 of the family's 1533-position model. The record is from RNAcentral.